This 462-nucleotide ribosomal RNA is filed under the name Rothia mucilaginosa. Its description in RNAcentral is "bacterial SSU rRNA". It matches the Rfam family "Bacterial small subunit ribosomal RNA", at positions 28 to 499 of the family's 1533-position model. The record is from RNAcentral. Lineage: Bacteria; Bacillati; Actinomycetota; Actinomycetes; Micrococcales; Micrococcaceae.
GACGAACGCUGGCGGCGUGCUUAACACAUGCAAGUCGAACGAUGAAGCCUAGCUUGCUAGGUGGAUUAGUGGCGAACGGGUGAGUAAUACGUGAGUAACCUACCUUUAACUCUGGGAUAAGCCCGGGAAACUGGGUCUAAUACCGGAUACGACCAAUCUCCGCAUGGGGUGUUGGUGGAAAGCGUUAUGUAGUGGUUAUAGAUGGGCUCACGGCCUAUCAGCUUGUUGGUGAGGUAACGGCUCACCAAGGCGACGACGGGUAGCCGGCCUGAGAGGGUGACCGGCCACACUGGGACUGAGACACGGCCCAGACUCCUACGGGAGGCAGCAGUGGGGAAUAUUGCACAAUGGGCGCAAGCCUGAUGCAGCGACGCCGCGUGAGGGAUGACGGCCUUCGGGUUGUAAACCUCUGUUAGCAGGGAAGAAGAGAGAUUGACGGUACCUGCAGAGAAAGCGCGGCUA